This 254-nucleotide small nuclear RNA is filed under the name Meriones unguiculatus (Mongolian gerbil). RNAcentral's name for it is "7SK RNA (ENSMUGG00000010778.1)". It matches the Rfam family "7SK RNA". From Rfam's summary of the family: 7SK was discovered as an abundant small nuclear RNA in the mid-70s but a possible function has only recently been suggested. Two independent studies have found that 7SK RNA binds the CDK9/cyclin T complex (known as elongation factor P-TEFb). The record is from RNAcentral. Lineage: Eukaryota; Metazoa; Chordata; Mammalia; Rodentia; Muridae.
GGAUGUGAGAGCAACUGUCUCUGACGUCUGUCACUCCAUUGAUUGCCAGGGUUGAUUCGGCUGAUCUAGCUGGCUAGGUGGCUUCUUCUCUUCACCUCUCCCUGUUCAUCACAACCUUUCCUGAAUAUAGGAGGGAUGGUUUUCUGUCAAGGGUAGCUGCACUCCCCUGCUAGAACCUCCAAACAAGCUCUCAAACAGGUCUUUCAGGUUUGAGUCCUCAGCUGAAGGGUCGAGACAUCCAGCUCCUCACUGCU